RNAcentral lists this ribosomal RNA (514 nucleotides) under uncultured bacterium. RNAcentral's name for it is "bacterial SSU rRNA". It matches the Rfam family "Bacterial small subunit ribosomal RNA", at positions 28 to 525 of the family's 1533-position model. The record is from RNAcentral.
GACGAACGCUGGCGGCGUGCCUAAUACAUGCAAGUCGAGCGGACCAAAGGGAGCUUGCUCCUGGAGGUCAGCGGCGAACGGGUGAGUAACACGUGGGCAACCUGCCUGUAAGACUGGGAUAACAUCGAGAAAUCGGUGCUAAUACCGGAUAAUAAAAAGAACUGCAUGGUUCUUUUUUGAAAGAUGGUUUCGGCUAUCACUUACAGGUGGGCCCGCGGCGCAUUAGCUAGUUGGUGAGGUAACGGCUCACCAAGGCAACGAUGCGUAGCCGACCUGAGAGGGUGAUCGGCCACACUGGGACUGAGACACGGCCCAGACUCCUACGGGAGGCAGCAGUAGGGAAUCUUCCGCAAUGGACGAAAGUCUGACGGAGCAACGCCGCGUGAGUGAUGAAGGUUUUCGGAUCGUAAAACUCUGUUGUUAGGGAAGAACAAGUGCCGUUCGAAAGGGCGGCACCUUGACGGUACCUAACGAGAAAGCCACGGCUAACUACGUGCCAGCAGCCGCGGUAAAG